Molecule: ribosomal RNA, 497 nt
Filed under: uncultured bacterium
Lineage: Bacteria
Description: partial 16S ribosomal RNA
Rfam family: Bacterial small subunit ribosomal RNA
Source: RNAcentral
GAUGAACGCUGGCGGCGUGCCUAAUACAUGCCAGUCGAGCGAACAGACGAGGAGCUUGCUCCUCUGACGUUAGCGGCGGACGGGUGAGUAACACGUGGAUAACCUACCUAUAAGACUGGGAUAACUUCGGGAAACCGGAGCUAAUACCGGAUAAUAUAUUGAACCGCAUGGUUCAAUAGUGAAAGACGGUUUUGCUGUCACUUAUAGAUGGAUCCGCGCCGCAUUAGCUAGUUGGUAAGGUAACGGCUUACCAAGGCAACGAUGCGUAGCCGACCUGAGAGGGUGAUCGGCCACACUGGAACUGAGACACGGUCCAGACUCCUACGGGAGGCAGCAGUAGGGAAUCUUCCGCAAUGGGCGAAAGCCUGACGGAGCAACGCCGCGUGAGUGAUGAAGGUCUUCGGAUAGUAAAACUCUGUUAUUAGGGAAGAACAAAUGUGUAAGUAACUAUGCACGUCUUGACGGUACCUAAUCAGAAAGCCACGGCUAACUACGUG